CCUACGGGAGGCAGCAGUGAGGAAUAUUGGUCAAUGGCCGGAAGGCUGAACCAGCCAUGCCGCGUGAAGGUCAGUGCCCUAUGGGCGUUAAACUUCUUUUGUGCGGGAGCAAUAAUGGUCACGUGUGGCCAGACGAGAGUACCGUACGAAUAAGCAUCGGCUAACUCCGUGCCAGCAGCCGCGGUAAUACGGGGGAUGCAAGCGUUAUCCGGAUUUAUUGGGUUUAAAGGGUGCGUAGGCGGGUUAUCAAGUCAGCGGUAAAAUCGUGGAGCUCAACUCCAUCCAGCCGUUGAAACUGAUGAUCUUGAGUGGGCGAGAAGUAUGCGGAAUGCGUGGUGUAGCGGUGAAAUGCAUAGAUAUCACGCAGAACUCCGAUUGCGAAGGCAGCAUACCGGCGCCCGACUGACGCUGAAGCACGAAAGCGUGGGUAUCGAACAGGAUUAGAUACCCCAGUAGUC
RNAcentral lists this ribosomal RNA (458 nucleotides) under uncultured bacterium. RNAcentral's name for it is "partial 16S ribosomal RNA". It matches the Rfam family "Bacterial small subunit ribosomal RNA", at positions 338 to 795 of the family's 1533-position model. The record is from RNAcentral.